UGCAGUCGAACGGAAAGGNCCUUCGGGGUGCUCGAGUGGCGAACGGGUGAGUAACACGUGGGUGAUCUGCCCUGCACUUUGGGAUAAGCCUGGGAAACUGGGUCUAAUACCGGAUAUACCCUGCUGGUCGCAUGGCCUGGUGGGGGAAAGCUUUUGCGGUGUGGGAUGGGCCCGCGGCCUAUCAGCUUGUUGGUGGGGUGAUGGCCUACCAAGGCGACGACGGGUAGCCGGCCUGAGAGGGUGUCCGGCCACACUGGGACUGAGAUACGGCCCAGACUCCUACGGGAGGCAGCAGUGGGGAAUAUUGCACAAUGGGCGCAAGCCUGAUGCAGCGACGCCGCGUGAGGGAUGACGGCCUUCGGGUUGUAAACCUCUUUCAAUGGGGACGAAGCGUAAGUGACGGUACCUAUAGAAGAAGCACCGGCCAACUACGUGCCAGCAGCCGCGGUAAUACGUAGGGUGCGAGCGUUGUCCGGAAUUACUGGGCGUAAAGAGCUCGUAGGUGGUUUGUCGCGUUGUUCGUGAAAACCGGGGGCUUAACCCUCGGCGUGCGGGCGAUACGGGCAGACUGGAGUACUGCAGGGGAGACUGGAAUUCCUGGUGUAGCGGUGGAAUGCGCAGAUAUCAGGAGGAACACCGGUGGCGAAGGCGGGUCUCUGGGCAGUAACUGACGCUGAGGAGCGAAAGCGUGGGGAGCGAACAGGAUUAGAUACCCUGGUAGUCCACGCCGUAAACGGUGGGUACUAGGUGUGGGUUUCCUUCCUUGGGAUCCGUGCCGUANCUAACGCAUUAAGUACCCCGCCUGGGGAGUACGGCCGCAAGGCUAAAACUCAAAGGAAUUGACGGGGGCCCGCNCNAGCGGCGGAGCAUGUGGAUNAAUUCGAUGCAACGCGAANAACCUUACCUGGGUUUGACNUGCACAGGACGCGUCUAGAGAUAGGCGUUCCNUGUGGNCUGUGUGCAGNGGUGCAUGGNUGUCGUCAGCUCNUGNCGUGAG
Molecule: ribosomal RNA, 997 nt
Filed under: Mycobacterium sp. URHE0090
Lineage: Bacteria; Bacillati; Actinomycetota; Actinomycetes; Mycobacteriales; Mycobacteriaceae
Description: bacterial SSU rRNA
Rfam family: Bacterial small subunit ribosomal RNA
Source: RNAcentral